Molecule: ribosomal RNA, 343 nt
Filed under: uncultured bacterium
Lineage: Bacteria
Description: bacterial SSU rRNA
Rfam family: Bacterial small subunit ribosomal RNA
Source: RNAcentral
AGGGUUCGAUCAUGGCUCAGGAUGAACGCUGGCGGCGUGCUUAACACAUGCAAGUCGAACGGGAAACUUUUCAUUGAAGCUUCGGCAGAUUUGGUCUGUUUCUAGUGGCGGACGGGUGAGUAACGCGUGGGUAACCUGCCUCAUACAGGGGGAUAACAGUUAGAAAUGGCUGCUAAUACCGCAUAAGCGCACAGGACCGCAUGGUCUGGUGUGAAAAACUCCGGUGGUAUGAGAUGGACCCGCGUCUGAUUAGCUAGUUGGAGGGGUAACGGCCCACCAAGGCGACGAUCAGUAGCCGGCCUGAGAGGGUGAACGGCCACAUUGGGACUGAGACACGGCCCAG